UGGGGAAUUUUGCACAAUGGAGGAAACUCUGAUGCAGCGACGCCGCGUGAGUGAUGAAGAUCUUCGGAUUGUAAAACUCUGUCCUUAGUGAAGAUAAUGACAGUAACUAAGAAGCAAGCCCUGGCUAAAUACGUGCCAGCAGCCGCGGUAAUACGUAUGGGGCAAGCGUUGUCCGGAAUUAUUGGGCGUAAAGGGUACAUAGGCGGUUUAAUAAGUCCUAAUUAAAAGGCUAUGGCUCAACCAUAGUAUGGUUAGGAAACUGUUGAACUUGAGUAGAUGAGGGGAAAGUGGAAUUCCAUGUGUAGCGGUGAAAUGCGUAGAUAUAUGGAGGAACACCAAUGGCGAAGGCAACUUUCUGGAAUCAAACUGACGCUGAGGUACGAAGGCGUGGGGAGCAAACAGG
This 403-nucleotide ribosomal RNA is filed under the name Fusobacteriota bacterium. RNAcentral describes it as "Fusobacteria bacterium partial 16S ribosomal RNA". It matches the Rfam family "Bacterial small subunit ribosomal RNA", at positions 355 to 776 of the family's 1533-position model. Lineage: Bacteria; Fusobacteriati; Fusobacteriota. The record is from RNAcentral.